This 373-nucleotide small RNA is filed under the name Arabidopsis thaliana (thale cress). RNAcentral's name for it is "ATSL026760". Lineage: Eukaryota; Viridiplantae; Streptophyta; Magnoliopsida; Brassicales; Brassicaceae. The record is from RNAcentral.
AGUAUUGUUGACAUUUUUAGAUCUUUAAAAUCUUGGUUUAGCCGUUGGAGGUGGAUUCUGAGUUGGUAGUUGGUCUUAUACGGACAAGGGUAAACGACGUUUAUCUUCUAGCAUUCCUGAUACGUAUGUGUCAUGACUUUUUUUUCAAAAAACUGUUUAAUUUGGGUUACUCACGCGUAUAAGGAGGCUAACCGUCUCACAAACGGAUUAGCAAACUAUGUGUUUUCAUUACAGUUAGGUAUAUUCUUUUAUUUAAUUACUGUCCUAUGUAGUUAAACCGAUUAUGUUAGAGGAUGCUAAUGGGACGGAUUUUUUUCGUCCCAUUCUCAUGUAGUUCCUUUAUUUUCAUGGAAUAAAUUGAAGGAGACCUCUC